This is a non-coding RNA of Asterophora parasitica, 88 nucleotides long. Lineage: Eukaryota; Fungi; Basidiomycota; Agaricomycetes; Agaricales; Lyophyllaceae. The record is from the annotation of a GenBank genome assembly.
GGCGCUGUAGUGUAGCGGUUAUCACUCGAGAUUCUGAUUCUUUGGCUGGGUCAUUCUCGUAACCCAGGUUCGAGUCCUGGCAGUGCCU